RNAcentral lists this ribosomal RNA (414 nucleotides) under uncultured microorganism. Its description in RNAcentral is "bacterial SSU rRNA". It matches the Rfam family "Archaeal small subunit ribosomal RNA", at positions 459 to 872 of the family's 1478-position model. The record is from RNAcentral.
CAGCAGCCGCGGUAAUACCGGCGGCCCGAGUGGCGGUCACUAUUAUUGGGCUUAAAGCGUCCGUAGCCGGGUUGGGAAGUCCUCCGGGAAAUCUGGCCGCUUAAAGGUCAGAAUGCCGGAGGAUACUCCCAGCCUAGGGAGCGGGAGAGGCCGAGGGUAUUCCCGGAGUAGGGGGGAAAUCCUAUAAUCCCGGGAGGACCACCUGUGGCGAAGGCGCUCGGCUGGAACGCGUCCGACGGCGAGGGACGAAGGCCAGGGGAGCAAACCGGAUUAGAUACCCGGGUAGUCCUGGCUGUAAACGAUGCGGACUUUGUGUCGGACAAGCUAUGAGCUUGUCCGGUGCCGGAGGGAAACCGUUAAGUCCGCCGCCUGGGGAGUACGGCCGCAAGGCUGAAACUUAAAGGAAUUGGCGGG